UCGGGAAUUUUGGGCAAUGGGCGAAAGCCUGAUGGAGCGACGUCGCGUGAUGGACGAAGUGCUUCGGCACGUAAACAUCUUUUAUGUGGGAUGAAAUUAUUGACAGUACCACAUGAAUAAGGGGCUCCUAACUCUGUGCCAGCAGGAGCGGUAAUACAGAGGCCCCAAGCGUUAUCCGGAAUCACUGGGCGUAAAGGGUGUCGAGGCGGUUGUAUUAGUCGUUCGUAAAAUCUACGAGCUUAACUUGUAGGCGGCGAACGAAACGGUACGACUUGAGGUUUGGAGAGGUGCGUGGAACUCACGGUGUAGGGGUGAAAUCCGUUGAUAUCGUGGGGAACACCAAAGGCGAAGGCAGCGCACUGGCCAAAAUCUGACGCUCACACACGAAAGCUAGGGUAGCGAAGAGGAUUAGAUACCCACGUAGUCCCUGAGCGGGCUGGCAAGGCGCAU
RNAcentral lists this ribosomal RNA (450 nucleotides) under uncultured bacterium. Its description in RNAcentral is "bacterial SSU rRNA". It matches the Rfam family "Bacterial small subunit ribosomal RNA", at positions 355 to 825 of the family's 1533-position model. The record is from RNAcentral.